UCCUCCCUUCUUCUCUGUCUAUACUAAAGACUCAUACAAUCUCUAUCAUCACAUUAUUUUUGUUGUGUGCGUAACCAGAGUAUUUGUAACGCUGUUGUAGAAGUAUGUUUAGAGCUGCAUAUGGACUGUGCAUUUAUUUCUUAUUAUACAUAGGGAUGGUGAAAUGUGUGAAUGUUCAACAGAACCCAACACCCAUAUUAGCCAGCGCGAAGAAUAUAACAGACAUAAAUUGUAGUUAUGAUGACAGUAACAAGCCAAACAUGUUAUGGUAUCAGCAGAAGGAUACAGCCAUGGUCUUGAUCGUGUUAAGUUACAGUGCUACAAGCAGGGCCGCGGGAACGGCCAUGGCUACAAGUGACCCCACCUAUGAGGAUGGAUUUAAAGACCGGUUUGAACUGAAAAGAACAGAAACACUGAAGGGAGUUCUGAAAAUCUCUGAUCUCAGUUCAUCAGACUCGGCUGUUUAUUACUGUGCUGUCAGUAUGCACAGUGCUGUAGUCUUUAUUACCUGCCUGACUAAAAACCAAACCACCAGACAAACAGGAAAUGCACAAAAAAGCCAAUCUAAUGUUCUUGAGGUUCAAAUGUGA
Carassius auratus (goldfish) is the source of this 590-nucleotide non-coding RNA. NCBI's taxonomy places the organism in Eukaryota, Metazoa, Chordata, Actinopteri, Cypriniformes, Cyprinidae. The record is from the annotation of a RefSeq genome assembly.